RNAcentral lists this ribosomal RNA (459 nucleotides) under uncultured bacterium. RNAcentral's name for it is "partial 16S ribosomal RNA". It matches the Rfam family "Bacterial small subunit ribosomal RNA", at positions 338 to 795 of the family's 1533-position model. The record is from RNAcentral.
CCUACGGGGGCAGCAGUGAGGAAUAUUGGUCCAUGGGCGCGAGCCUGAACCAGCCAAGUAGCGUGAAGGAUGACUGCCCUACGGGUUGUAAACUUCUUUUAUAAAGGAAUAAAGUGAGGCACGGGUGCCUUUUUGUAUGUACUUUAUGAAUAAGGAUCGGCUAACUCCGUGCAAGCAGCCGCGGUAAUACGGAGGAUCCGCGCGUUAUCCGGAUUUUUUGGGGUUAAAGGGAGCGUAGAGGGGUUGUUAAGUCAGGUGUGAAAGUUUGCGGGUCAACCGUAAAAUUGCAAUUGAUACUGGCAGUCUUGAGUACAGUUGAGGUAGGCGGAAUGCGUGGUGUAGCGGUGAAAUGCUUAGAUAUCACGAAGAACUCCGAUUGCGAAGGCAGCUUACUAACCUGCCACUGACAUUGAUGCUCGAAAGUGUGGGUAUCAAACAGGAUUAGAUACCCGAGUAGUC